AUUCAAAUAUCUGCCCUAUCAACUUUCGAUGGUAGGAUUAGAGGCCUACCAUGGUUUUGACGGGUAAACGGGGAAUAAGGGUUCGAUUCCGGAGAGGGAGCCUGAGAAACGGCUACCACAUCCACGGAAGGCAGCAGGCGCGCAAAUUGCCCAAUCCCGACACGGGGAGGUAGUGACAAUAAAUAACAAUAUAGGGCCCUUUCGGGUCCUAUAAUUGGAAUGAGUACAAUUUAAAUCCGUUAACGAGGAACAAUUGGAGGGCAAGUCUGGUGCCAGCAGCCGCGGUAAUUCCAGCUCCAAUAGCGUAUAUUAAAGUUGUUGCAGUUAAAAAGCUCGUAGUUGAACUUCAGACCUGACCGGGCGGUCCGCCUAACGGGUGUACUGUCUGGCCGGGCCUUACCUCUUGGUGAGCCGGAUGCCCUUUAUGGGGUGCGUCGGGGAAACAGGACCUUUACCUUGAGAAAAUUAGAGUGUCAAAGCAG
Molecule: ribosomal RNA, 482 nt
Filed under: uncultured fungus
Lineage: Eukaryota; Fungi
Description: SSU rRNA
Rfam family: Eukaryotic small subunit ribosomal RNA
Source: RNAcentral